Molecule: ribosomal RNA, 562 nt
Filed under: uncultured Pseudomonadota bacterium
Lineage: Bacteria; Pseudomonadati; Pseudomonadota
Description: bacterial SSU rRNA
Rfam family: Bacterial small subunit ribosomal RNA
Source: RNAcentral
GUUAGCGGCGCGCUUAACACAUGCAAGUCGAACGAGAAAGCUCCUUCGGGAGUGAUUAAAGUGGCGCACGGGUGAGUAACACGUGGGUAAUCUACCCUUUGGCGGGGGACAACAUUUCGAAAGAGAUGCUAAUACCGCAUAAGUCCACUUCGGUGGGGAAAGAUGGCCUCUUCUUGAAAGCUAUCACCAGAGGAUGAGCCCGCGGCCCAUCAGUUUGUUGGUAGGGUAAUGGCCUACCAAGGCUUCGACGGGUAGCUGAUCUGAGAGGAUGAUCAGUCACACUGGAACUGAGACACGGUCCAGACUCCUACGGGAGGCAGCAGUGGGGAAUAUUGCGCAAUGGGGGAAACCCUGACGCAGCGACGCCGCGUGGGUGAUGAAGGUUUUCGGAUCGUAAAGCCCUGUGGGAGAGGGAAGAACAACCUAGGGGAACAAUACCCCACUAGGUCUGACGGUACCUCUCCAGAAAGCACCGGCUAACUCCGUGCCAGCAGCCGCGGUAACACGGAGGGUGCGAACGUUGUUCGGAAUCACUGGGCGUAAAGCGCAUGCAGGCGGCGCA